CAUGCAAGUCGAACGGAAACCUUCGGGUUUUAGUGGCGAACGGGUGAGUAACACGUAAGCAACCUACCCUAAAGACGAGGAUAACCAUUGGAAACAGUGGCUAAGACUGGAUAGGAAGAUAAAAGGCAUCUUGUAUCUUUUAAAAGACCUAGUUAAUAGGUAUGCUUUAGGAGGGGCUUGCGCCAUAUUAGUUAGUUGGUAGGGUAAUGGCCUACCAAGACGAUGAUGUGUAGCUGGACUGAGAGGUUGAACAGCCACAUUGGGACUGAGACACGGCCCAAACUCCUACGGGAGGCAGCAGUAGGGAAUUUUCGGCAAUGGAGGAAACUCUGACCGAGCAACGCCGCGUGAAUGACGAAGUACUUCGGUAUGUAAAGUUCUUUUAUCGAGGAAGAAAAGCAAAUGGCGAACCAUUUGUUUGCCGGUACUUGAUGAAUAAGCCCCGGCUAAUUAUGUGCCAGCAGCCGCGGUAAGACAUAAGGGGCAAGUGUUAUCCGGAAUUAUUGGGCGUAAAGGGUGCGUAGGCGGUCUAGUAAGUCAGUGGUGUAAUGGCAACGCUUAACGUUGUCCGGCUAUUGAAACUGCUAAACUUGAGUUAGAUAGAGGCGAGUGGAAUUCCAUGUGUAGCGGUAAAAUGCGUAAAUAUAUGGAGGAACACCAGAGGCGUAGGCGGCUCGCUGGGUCUUAACUGACGCUGAGGCACGAAAGCGUGGGGAGCAAACAGGAUUAGAUACCCUGGUAGUCCACGCCGUAAACGAUGAGUACUAAGUGUCGGGUUAAACCGGUACUGAAGUUAACACAUUAAGUACUCCGCCUGAGUAGUACGUACGCAAGUAUGAAACUUAAAGGAAUUGACGGGACUCCGCACAAGCGGUGGAUCAUGUUGUUUAAUUCGAAGAUACCCGAAAAACCUUACCAGGUCUUGACAUGUUUUUGCAAAAUGAUAGUAAUAUCGUGGAGGUUACCAGAAACACAGGUGGUGCAUGGUUGUCGUCAGCUCGUGUCGUGAGAUGUUAGGUUAAGUCCUAAAACGAGCGAAACCCUUAUCGUUAGUUGCCAGCACGUUAUGGUGGGGACUUUAACGAGACUGCCAAUGAUAAAUUGGAGGAAGGUGAGGAUCACGUCAAAUCAGCAUGCCCCUUAUGACCUGGGCUACAAACGUGAUACAAUGGCUGUUACAAAGGGUAGCUGAAACGCAAGUUCUUGGCCAAUCCCCAAAAACAGUCCCAGUCCGGAUUGAAGUCUGCAACUCGACUUCAUGAAGUUGGAAUCGCUAGUAAUCGCGAAUCAGCAUGUCGCGGUGAAUACGUUCUCGGGGUUUGUACACACCGCCCGUCAAACCACGAAAGUUGGCAAUACCCCAAAACGGUAGCCUAACUCGUUUAUUCGAGAGGGCGCCGUCUAAGGUAGGGUCGAUGAUUGGGGUUAAGUCGUAACAAGGUAUCCCUACCGGAAGGUGGGGAUGGAUCACCUCCUUUCU
Molecule: ribosomal RNA, 1480 nt
Filed under: Crotalaria witches'-broom phytoplasma
Lineage: Bacteria; Bacillati; Mycoplasmatota; Mollicutes; Acholeplasmatales; Acholeplasmataceae
Description: 16S ribosomal RNA
Rfam family: Bacterial small subunit ribosomal RNA
Source: RNAcentral